This 445-nucleotide ribosomal RNA is filed under the name uncultured bacterium. RNAcentral describes it as "partial 16S ribosomal RNA". It matches the Rfam family "Bacterial small subunit ribosomal RNA", at positions 354 to 796 of the family's 1533-position model. The record is from RNAcentral.
GUAGGGAAUAUUGGGCAAUGGAGGCAACUCUGACCCAGCCAUGCCGCGUGCAGGAUGACGGCCCUCUGGGUUGUAAACUGCUUUUAUACGGGAAGAAAAAAUACUACGUGUAGUAUACUGACGGUACCGUAAGAAUAAGGAUCGGCUAACUCCGUGCCAGCAGCCGCGGUAAUACGGAGGAUCCAAGCGUUGUCCGGAUUUAUUGGGUUUAAAGGGUGCGUAGGCGGAUCUUUAAGUCAGUGGUGAAAGCCUGCAGCUUAACUGUAGAAUUGCCAUUGAAACUGAAGAGCUUGAAUGUGGUUAAAGUAGGCGGAAUGUAUCAUGUAGCGGUGAAAUGCUUAGAUAUGAUACAGAACACCGAUAGCGAAGGCAGCUUGCUGAACCAUUAUUGACGCUGAGGCACGAAAGCGUGGGGAGCGAACAGGAUUAGAUACCCCGGUAGUCC